RNAcentral lists this transfer RNA (62 nucleotides) under Pseudotibiozus cerasopus. RNAcentral describes it as "tRNA-Asp". The record is from RNAcentral. Lineage: Eukaryota; Metazoa; Arthropoda; Diplopoda; Spirostreptida; Spirostreptidae.
AGAAAAUUAGUUAAAAUAUAACCUUAACUUGUCAUGUUAAAAUUAUCCAAAGAUAUUUUCUU